Molecule: long non-coding RNA, 1040 nt
Organism: Gasterosteus aculeatus aculeatus (three-spined stickleback)
Lineage: Eukaryota; Metazoa; Chordata; Actinopteri; Perciformes; Gasterosteidae
Source: Ensembl
GUCAGCAACCUCCAAGCUCAGCGAAUUUGCUGGAAAAGUUUGAACAACCAUUCUUCCUCCCUCAGCCUACCCGAGCGCUCGGUCGAAGCCACGGCUCCCAACUUUCUCGGGAGGCCGCGUGGGCGUGCGUGCGUUUCCCCUCCGGCUGCUCCAGGUCUCCACUUAAUAAGGCCGCUGUUCCGCUCCUGUCCAAACCGACAAGCUCUGUGAGUAAUGAACAUCUCCCAGGCAGCCAUCCAACAACAGCAGGUUUCAGUGUCAGUCCCUGUCAGCAGCCAAUGACUGUGAUCUGCUGCUUUAUUACACCCAUAAGGUGUGCGCGUGUGCACGCCGUAAUGAGGCAGCGGCCCAAUGAAGACGUCAUGUUCCUCCCAGAGGCUCUGCUGGAUAAAGAGCGGCCGCGUGACAAUGUUUGCGUUUGGACAACCCUCCCCCCCACCACACCACACCACCACGCCGGUGACUUCAGGUGUGAUGGAGAAGGGCCAAUAAAAAGGCGGCUCAGCGCGCCGCGUGCAGCCGGCGGCUCUCCAAUCCGCAGCCGAAGACCCGCUGUGGUUUGAUUCCUGGCUGCCAUACUCUCCGCUGCGAUCUGUGUGUGUGUGUGUGUGUCUGAACCUUCCUGCCCUUCAGCGAGCGAGAGGAAAUAGACACGCGGGAGGUCGCCCCCCACCGCUGCUCCCCCUUCACGAGUGAAAAAACCGGACCGGCGGCGUCUCUGUUCUUGCCCAAAGCGACCUCUGAUAUUCAGUCACCCUGGUGGAAUGUGAACUGCAGCACCUCAUUACAGAAAAGGAACGGACCUGCAGCCGGACCUCUGCGGUGAGAGCUUGUGUCCUGCACAGCUGCGCCGGUAUCGUCUAAUUGAACUCCGGAGUCCGCGUUUAGGAAGCGAUUUUUUAUUUUUUUAAAUAAAUUUGUCUCUACUGUCACGUCGUCCCUCGGGACGGCGACGAGAUGAUUAAUCAUUUCCUGCCGAGGACAUAGCAACUUGCUUGGGGGAAGAGAAAAAUCUGGCUUGGUGGAGCCCUCGGGGGAGG